CCAACCUCCUGGUCUGAGCCAUAAUGAAUGCUGGCCAGUCCUCCCCACACAGUCAGGGCUCCACAAGGCAGUGAGCAUGACGUCCACAGCAUGUGACAUCAUGCUCAGAACUCUCCAGUGCGGGACAGACUUGUGCAUCAAAGCACGCAGGAGGUUCACCGUGCCCAGCUCUGUGUCACUCACUCUGCGCUCCUGAGCGUGGCCUCAAGGCACCACCCAGUUCUGAUUCUGGACACUCUUGUUCUCUGCCAGGAACUCAGCAGGUGCAGUGCUCUCGGUGCGGAAUUUUGGAGACCUCUUCAGAGCGGCCUCACCCACUGCAGCUGCUGAGUAGUGGCUGCCUCGUCUCCUGCGCCUCUGACCUCAGAGCCACUGUUGGCAGUGUACUGUGUAUCUGCUGACUCAGGGCUGGUGAUCUCGGUCUGAUUCUUAGAAAGAAACCUGUGGGGUGCUGGAGCUGCCUGUGUUGGUCCAGGCAGACACCAAAGUCAGCACAGGUGGCCUGAAGUCAGGGAACGGCGAUCUGUGUGAACAGCUCCAUGAACCGUUUCACUGCUGAGUAGCAUAAAAACAUCUCUUUGCCAUCACAGAGUCCCGAGGAACCCACGGACAUUCCUGCCUCCAGGUCCUGGGCCCUGGCCCGGGGUGGCCUUGGGUGGCUCCAGGUUACCUGGCUGUCAGGAGAGGAAACAGGCGGGGGAAGGAAUUCCACACCACGGCAACCUCACACCCAGGAUGUUUCUCUUCAGAGCAUGACAUUUGGGCUGGGCCCAGGCGUCUGGGAAACCCACGCAAUUCUGCAGCACUCAGCAGACACCUGCCAAGCACCGAGGUGGAGUUUCCAUGAUGAACAAGCCACGCCCCUGCCUUUGAGGAACUUGUCGCCCAGACCCGUGCCCAUGCUUCCAGGGUCUGUGGACCACCAGCUCCGCAUGAAUUAAAAUCAAAACAAAGGUUCAUCGCAAAUGAAGACAAUGAAAAUAAAGUGAUUUAAAAAUAAGAACUUUAUAAAAAUGAAGGGAUGACAUUGUUUGGAAGCUCUCAUCAUGGUCACAAUCAUUCAGUUUUCUUACAUUUUAUUUACUUCAGAAAAUUCAAGGCAUGAGGAGUGGCAGCAAGGUUUUGGUGACACUGUCAGAGUUUGAUGGGCACCCAGAGAGUACAGAGGGCCUCCUGCCUGCGGGCUCCCUGCAUCCAACUGCAGCCAGUGCAUCCAGGAGCCAGACCCUGUGGCUCAGCACACACUCUGCUGUGCUUUGCAAAACAAGCCCAACACUAACUUUCUAUUUUUUUGAUAACUGGAGAAAAUCCAUCAACUGUCAAGAGAGGGAAACAAUUGACAGGCUGGUUGUGUCACAGUUCAGAUUCAAGAAAUCCUGAGUCUUCAGGCUCAACCCUGCAACCCUGAAAAAGAAGCCGCAUGGCAUCACUGCCGAUGCCCAUGACAGAAGCGAAGCUUCUUUUUUUUUGACAGUUAGUGAGAGAGAGAGAGACAGAGAGAAAGGUCUUCCUUCUGUUGGUUUACCCCACAAAUGGCCGCUACAGCUGGCACGCUGCGGCUCGCGUGCUGCACUGAUCCAAAGCCAGGAGCCAGGUGCUUCCUCCUGGUCUCCCAUGCGGGUGCAGGGCCCAAGCACUUGGGCCAUCCUCCACUGCCUUCCUGGGCCACAGCAGAGAGUUGGACUGGAAGAGGAGCAACCGGGACAGAAUCUGAAACCCCAACUGGGACUAGAACCUGGAGUACCAGCGCCGCAGGCGGAGGAUUAGCCUAGUGAGCUGCGGCGCCGACCAGAAGCGAAGUUUCUAACCUCCUGUCUCGAGCACCAGAGUCCCUGCAGCAGGCACUGGAAGCCCUUGUGGUCACCUGGUCAGUUCCAAGCAGCCCUGCAGAGCCACCGGCCUCCAGGCCCUGAGCCUUAUUCCGGGGUAACCUGUAAAAUGCACGUGUGCACACAGUGACGCCAGAUACAUGCAGUUAUCAUGAUCACCCUGGGGCCCUGGGUUACAGCCUCGUUUCUUUCCUUUUGUGCACUGGGAGAUUUCAGCACUAAGUGUGCAUCACUCUGUUCAAGGAGAGAAGGCAGCAUAGCUGGGCUCUUCCUUCUGCCCCUCCCACAGAGGACUCCCCGGCUGUGACAGAUGCUCACGGCUGGGCCUCUCGUGGACGAUGUGUACAGAUGGAAAGAUGAAGGGAAACCUCCAGGGGUUUCAGGAAAACUGCUCCUUCUUUG
Oryctolagus cuniculus (rabbit) is the source of this 2231-nucleotide non-coding RNA. The record is from RefSeq and is a predicted model, not a curated record. NCBI's taxonomy places the organism in Eukaryota, Metazoa, Chordata, Mammalia, Lagomorpha, Leporidae.